GACGAACGCUGGCGGCGUGCUUAACACAUGCAAGUCGAACGGAAAGGCCCUGCUUUUGUGGGGUGCUCGAGUGGCGAACGGGUGAGUAACACGUGAGUAACCUGCCCUUGACUUUGGGGUAACUUCAGGAAACUGGGGCUAAUACCGGAUAGGAGCUCCUGCUGCAUGGGGGGGGUUGGAAAGUUUCGGCGGUUGGGGCUGGCCUCGCGGCUUAUCAGCUUGUUGGUGGGGUAGUGGCUUACCAAGGCUUUGACGGGUAGCCGGCCUGAGAGGGUGACCGGCCACAUUGGGACUGAGAUACGGCCCAGACUCCUACGGGAGGCAGCAGUGGGGAAUAUUGCACAAUGGGCGGAAGCCUGAUGCAGCAACGCCGCGUGCGGGAUGACGGCCUUCGGGUUGUAAACCGCUUUCGCCUGUGACGAAGCGUGAGUGACGGUAAUGGGUAAAGAAGCACCGGCUAACUACGUG
This 468-nucleotide ribosomal RNA is filed under the name uncultured bacterium. RNAcentral's name for it is "partial 16S ribosomal RNA". It matches the Rfam family "Bacterial small subunit ribosomal RNA", at positions 28 to 507 of the family's 1533-position model. The record is from RNAcentral.